AACACAAUCCGUUAACUUGUUAUGACAAAACGAAAAACAUUUAUUGAAACAAAAAAUCGUAAAUACUGUAUCACAUUUGCGUCCUUAGUGGUGCAGGGUGUAGGCCAGGGGAGCGGAGUGCACCACCGACUUGACGAGGGGAGCUGAGUGGACCAGAGGCACAGAGUGGACGACUGGAGCGGCGUGGACAACGGGCACGGAGUGAACCACUGGAGCAGCGUGGACGGCAACGGCGGGAUGGGAGUAGGUGGUGGUCUUCACGAUGGGAGCAACCACUGGCUGCACCACCGCCUUGCUGUGCACCUGGGUGAUGCUCUGGUGGG
Drosophila melanogaster (fruit fly) is the source of this 323-nucleotide non-coding RNA. NCBI's taxonomy places the organism in Eukaryota, Metazoa, Arthropoda, Insecta, Diptera, Drosophilidae. The record is from Ensembl.